AGAGUUUGAUCCUGGCUCAGGAUGAACGCUGGCGGCGUGCUUAACACAUGCAAGUCGAACGGACUUAGGAUGAAACCUAGUGAUUUCUAAGUUAGUGGCGGACGGGUGAGUAACGCGUGGGCAACCUGCCUCAUACAGGGGGAUAACACUUAGAAAUAGGUGCUAAUACCGCAUAAGCGCACAGCUUCGCAUGGAGCAGUGUGAAAAACUCCGGUGGUAUGAGAUGGACCCGCGUCUGAUUAGCUAGUUGGUGGGGUAACGGCCUACCAAGGCGACGAUCAGUAGCCGGCCUGAGAGGGUGACCGGCCACAUUGGGACUGAGACACGGCCCAAACUCCUACGGGAGGCAGCAGUGGGGAAUAUUGCACAAUGGGGGAAACCCUGAUGCAGCAACGCCGCGUGAGUGAAGAAGUAUUUCGGUAUGUAAAGCUCUAUCAGCAGGGAAGAACAAAGACGGUACCUGACUAAGAAGCACCGGCUAAAUACGUGCCAGCAGCCGCGGUAAUACGUAUGGUGCAAGCGUUGUCCGGAAUCAUUGGGCGUAAAGCGUUCGUAGGCGGCAUACCAAGUCUGGUGUUAAAUCCCGGGGCUCAACUCCGGUCGGGCACUGGAUACUGGUAAGCUAGAAUGUGGUAGAGGUAAAGGGAAUUCCUGGUGUAGCGGUGAAAUGCGUAGAUAUCAGGAGGAACACCGGUGGCGUAAGCGCUUUACUGGGCCAUAAUUGACGCUGAGGAACGAAAGCCGGGGGAGCAAAUGGGAUUAGAUACCCCAGUAGUCCCGGCCGUAAACGAUGGAUACUAGGUGUUGCGGGUAUCGACCCCUGCAGUGCCGCAGCCAACGCGAUAAGUAUCCCGCCUGGGGAGUACGCACGCAAGUGUGAAACUCAAAGGAAUUGACGGGGACCCGCACAAGCGGUGGAACAUGUGGUUUAAUUCGAAGCAACGCGAAAAACCUUACCAGGGCUUGACAUCUGAGGAACCUCUAUGAAAGUAGAGGGUGCUUUUCGGAGAGCCUCAAGACAGGUGGUGCACGGCUGUCGUCAGCUCGUGUCGUGAGAUGUUGGGUUAAGUCCCGCAACGAGCGCAACCCUCGUUAUUAGUUGCUUGCAUUGGCUUGCUGAUGCAGAGCUCUCUAAUAAGACUGCCGAUGAUAAAUCGGAGGAAGGUGGGGACGACGUCAAGUCAUCAUGCCCCUUAUGCUCUGGGCUACACACGUGUUACAAUGGCUAGGACAAUGAGCAGCCAACUCGCGAGAGUGAGCAAAUCUCUUAAACCUAGUCUCAGUUCGGAUCGUAGUCUGCAACUCGACUACGUGAAGUCGGAAUCGCUAGUAAUCCCGAAUCAGAAUGUCGGGGUGAAUACGUUCCCGGGUGUUGCACACACCGCCCGUCA
This 1391-nucleotide ribosomal RNA is filed under the name uncultured bacterium. RNAcentral's name for it is "bacterial SSU rRNA". It matches the Rfam family "Bacterial small subunit ribosomal RNA". The record is from RNAcentral.